RNAcentral lists this ribosomal RNA (333 nucleotides) under uncultured bacterium. RNAcentral describes it as "bacterial SSU rRNA". It matches the Rfam family "Bacterial small subunit ribosomal RNA", at positions 29 to 345 of the family's 1533-position model. The record is from RNAcentral.
AACGAACGCUGGCGGCGUGCCUAACACAUGCAAGUCGUGCGAGAAAGUUCCUUCGGGAGCGAGUAAAGCGGCGCACGGGUGAGUAACACGUAGGUAACCUGCCCCCCAGUCUGGAACAACUAGAGGAAACUCUAGCUAAUGCCGGAUGAGACCACGAUCCCUUCGGGGGUUGCGGCCAAAGAUGGCCUCUACUUGUAAGCUAUCGCUGAGGGAUGGGCCUGCGGGCCAUUAGCUUGUUGGUGAGGUAACGGCUCACCAAGGCUGUGAUGGCUAGCUGGUCUGAGAGGAUGACCAGCCACACUGGGACUGAGACACGGCCCAGACUCCUACGGA